CCAGGCCCCUGCCUCCCCAGAACAGAGGAGAGACCACAGCUGUGCCUGGUGAAGCAGCUUUCAUCGGUAUAUCUGUUCCCAAAAGACAUUGAUGCUACCUCCAGGUUUCAGUGGAAGCUCUCCCCUCUAUUAGUCAUUCCUGCAUGUUUCUGCCAGUCACAUCCAGAUGAAUCCUUUUUUGUCCUGGAAUAGAUGAGCAGUCACGCAGAUGAGUUCCCUUUGAUUGAACACAGCACUCGGUAGGGAACAAGUCAAUGGUGUGACGCUCUUUUUCAGGAAUGCAGAGCUACAUUUCACCUCUGUUUCCCGUUUUUGGGACUGAAGAGACUCCAACAUGCGAUCAAUAAGCACCUUGGUGGCAGAGCCGAGCUGAAGCCUGAAGAGCUCCAGGUGGACAUUUGCAGACACCUUGCCAAAGAAAAUGCAGAACUGCUGGAGAACUUGUAUAGCACAACCAUCGCGUCCUUCAGUAGCAGCUGGGAAGGGAUCCGGGCAGGUGCCGCCAACUUAGCUGGCAUCAUCCUGGAACACACAGACACUCAGCGUAUGAAAUGGCUGGACCUGGAACAUCUGC
Mauremys reevesii (Reeves's turtle) is the source of this 574-nucleotide long non-coding RNA. RefSeq lists it as uncharacterized. The transcript is spliced from 3 exons. Lineage: Eukaryota; Metazoa; Chordata; Testudines; Geoemydidae. The record is from RefSeq and is a predicted model, not a curated record.